RNAcentral lists this ribosomal RNA (864 nucleotides) under uncultured bacterium. RNAcentral's name for it is "bacterial SSU rRNA". It matches the Rfam family "Bacterial small subunit ribosomal RNA", at positions 629 to 1504 of the family's 1533-position model. The record is from RNAcentral.
AAAACUUUUCAGCUAGAGUAUGAUAGAGGAAAGCAGAAUUUCUAGUGUAGAGGUGAAAUUCGUAGAUAUUAGAAAGAAUACCAAUUGCGAAGGCAGCUUUCUGGAUCAUUACUGACACUGAGGAACGAAAGCAUGGGUAGCGAAGAGGAUUAGAUACCCUCGUAGUCCAUGCCGUAAACGAUGUGUGUUAGACGUUGGAAAUUUAUUUUCAGUGUCGCAGGGAAACCGAUAAACACACCGCCUGGGGAGUACGACCGCAAGGUUAAAACUCAAAUGAAUUGACGGGGACCCGCACAAGUAGUGGAGCAUGUGGUUUAAUUCGAAGAUACGCGCAGAACCUUACCAACACUUGACAUGUUCGUCGCGACUCUAAGAGAUUAGAGUUUUCGGUUCGGCCGGACGAAACACAGGUGCUGCAUGGCUGUCGUCAGCUCGUGUCGUGAGAUGUUGGGUUAAGUCCCGCAACGAGCGCAACCCUCACUUUUAGUUGCCAUCAUUAAGUUGGGCACUCUGAAAGAACUGCCAGUGAUAAGCUGGAGGAAGGUGGGGAUGACGUCAAGUCCUCAUGGCCCUUACGUGUUGGGCUACACACGUGCUACAAUGGCAUCUACAACAGGAAGCAAAACGGCAACGUUAAGCAAAUCCCGAAAAGAUGCCUCAGUUCGGAUUGCACUCUGCAACUCGAGUGCAUGAAGCUGGAAUUACUAGUAAUCGUGGAUCAGCGUGCCACGGUGAAUGCGUUCCCGGGUCUUGUACACACCGCCCGUCACACCAUGGGAGUUGGUUCUACCUUAAGGCAAGGUUUCAAACCCUUGACCACGGUAUAGUCAGCGACUGGGGUGAAGUCGUAACAAGGUAGCCGUA